Long non-coding RNA from Oncorhynchus keta (chum salmon), 714 nucleotides. RefSeq lists it as uncharacterized. The record is from RefSeq and is a predicted model, not a curated record. The transcript has 4 exons. NCBI's taxonomy places the organism in Eukaryota, Metazoa, Chordata, Actinopteri, Salmoniformes, Salmonidae.
AUUGCAACAAUGUUAUGGUCUCUACAGCUAAUGUGAACUGAUAUUGCUUUGGAGCAAAGCUCUGCAGCAUUGGUGAAGAUACAAUCAUUACAAGUGCAGUCCUGGAGGACCCCCAUUUUAUAACGUUUGACGGCGUGAAGUACACUUUCAAUGGGAAAGGAGAAUACUGCCGGGUUGACUCCCCAGGCAGAGGGCUGAGAAUUCAGGGCCGGACAGAGCAGGUGAAACUAGAGAACGGUACCUUAGCCAAGGCUAAUAGUCCAUCGGCUGUGACUAUAAGAGAGAAUACCUCUGUCAAAGAGGUGCACCAGGCAGAGCAGCAGGAUCAUCUGGAGGUGUUUAGGAACCAGCAACUCCCCUCCUUCACAGAACAGUGAUGAAUGGACCUACAUGGUGUUUUCUGUACUCUCCGACACCGCAGAACAUGACGGUCAUGUUCUCUUCAGGGGUGGAGGUAGAGGUGCAGGGGCGAGAGGUGCCACCAUGGCCCUUACCGUGCUGCUCCCCCAGACUACACCAACCUUACCCAGAGGCUGCUGGGACAGAUUAAGUCUGACCCUUCAGAUGACCUGCUGACCAGCCUGGGAGAGGUCGUCUCCCCUGACAACCCCAGCACUGAGGAGAUAUUCUCAUUCCGAGCUGGCUGUGAGUCCAUGGGCCUCUCUCUGCAUUGAAACUAACAGUGCAUCUCAGUUAUCCAAAGCUCUUUCUCAA